CAGGGCGAGCCGCAAGCAGUGGCCUACAUGUUUAUGCCUUUAUCACCUACAUUAGGCUAUGGAAGCAUUGAUGUACUUCUUCAUAAAACUAUGAACAAUUUAGGGGGGCCCUUGUUUUCAGAUGUCAUGGCAAGGAGGGGCCAAGGUCUGGUGCUACUGCCAGGACGUCAUAUUAGAUUAUAGAAUUUCAGUGAGAUCAUGUAGUGUGAUGUGAGAAAUGCCUUCUUCAUGGACAAGAGGUAGUGAUGUAUUGGUCUCAAUAUUUUUUGAAACUUGAGUCAAUUCCUCUUGCAAGUUAAGAAUGAGGACAUUAUUGCUCAUUAUGAAGGAUAGGAAAGUUAACUGAUAAAUGGUAGGUUUUCUUAUCAUGUUAUAUUAAACAUGUUAAUUUAUGCCACUUAAAUCUUGUAAUUCAUGCCCUCUAUGGAUCCUGGCUACCUUGACCCGUCAAA
Molecule: long non-coding RNA, 452 nt
Organism: Panicum virgatum (switchgrass)
Lineage: Eukaryota; Viridiplantae; Streptophyta; Magnoliopsida; Poales; Poaceae
Exons: 2
Source: RefSeq, a predicted model, not a curated record